Molecule: long non-coding RNA, 299 nt
Organism: Bufo bufo (common toad)
Lineage: Eukaryota; Metazoa; Chordata; Amphibia; Anura; Bufonidae
Exons: 3
Source: RefSeq, a predicted model, not a curated record
GCCUUCUGUCAGACUGCUGAAGAGGUGACUGAGAGCGGCGACUACACUGCCCAUAAUGCAAAGCACCAGGGGGAGGUUCCAGGGCUGGCCAUAGUUCAUAGCAUUACUCUGCUCAGCAGCUCCAGAAAUGUUCCCAUCCUGAUACAACCUGGACAGUGCUUGAGUCUGGAGAGGCUUAGCCAACUAUGGAUACUGAAGCUAACCACUUGACUAACCGGGACAACCAGCAAUCCUGAAAUUAACUCCUUCAUUGGCUCAGAUGACUAAGUCCUUGUAAUAACCUAUUUACUGCCCUAAAC